GCCGAGAUGGCGGAAUUGGUAGACGCACUAGCUUCAGGUGCUAGCGCUCGCAAGGGCAUGGAGGUUCGAGUCCUCUUCUCGGCA
This 84-nucleotide transfer RNA is filed under the name Candidatus Moraniibacteriota bacterium. RNAcentral's name for it is "Candidatus Moranbacteria bacterium tRNA-Leu". It matches the Rfam family "tRNA". From Rfam's summary of the family: Transfer RNA (tRNA) molecules are approximately 80 nucleotides in length. Lineage: Bacteria; Candidatus Moraniibacteriota. The record is from RNAcentral.